Molecule: ribosomal RNA, 116 nt
Filed under: Pteropus alecto (black flying fox)
Lineage: Eukaryota; Metazoa; Chordata; Mammalia; Chiroptera; Pteropodidae
Source: RNAcentral
GUCUACGGCCGCGCCACCCUGAACGAGCCCGAUGUCCGAUCUCGGAAGCUGAGCAGGGUCGGGCCUGGUUAGUACUUGGGUGGGAGACCACCUAGGAAGACCGGGUGUUGUAGGUG